GGCUGGUCCGAGUGCAGUGUGGGACAUACAACUAAUUAAUCACAACUAGUUACAGAUUCCUUUGUUCCUUCUCCUUUAAUCUCCAAGAAAAUAGCCUUCAGACUAGCCAAGU
This is an unclassified non-coding RNA of Procavia capensis (Cape rock hyrax), 112 nucleotides long. It matches the Rfam family "Y RNA". From Rfam's summary of the family: Y RNAs are components of the Ro ribonucleoprotein particle (Ro RNP), in association with Ro60 and La proteins. Lineage: Eukaryota; Metazoa; Chordata; Mammalia; Hyracoidea; Procaviidae. The record is from Ensembl.